UUGGGAAUUAGUUGGAAUGUGUGCGUAUUUAUUAAUAGGUUUUUGGUUCACACGAUGAAAUUCUCCCACAGACUUAAAUCACACUGUUUUCAGUGUGAAAUAAAUCGAGUUUCGAUGAGAGAAAUGCAUAAAUGUAUGGAAAAAGGUAAGAAAAAGAGAACUAACCUGGACGCGGGAUGCAAUGAUUGAUGCAGAUGUUGGCGGGAUGCAUUAGGUGAUGGUGGUGAGGAUGCAAAUGAUGCUGUGAUGGACGAAUGAUGAAUGAACUUCGAAUGGGAUGCUGACUGGAAUGAACCAGAUCGAUGCAGGAAGAUGCUAAAAAGUGAUGUGGGAAGUGGUGGGUGGGGUGGAAUGAGUCAUGGUGAGGUGAAAUGGGUGAAAUUGGGUUGGAGGUCGUUAGAAUGACCAGUGGUCAGGGUCUGGGCUCACGCGACUGGGGGUGAAGCAUGUUUGGCCUCGGUCACGAGUACGAGAACGUGGUCGAGGGAUGGUUAGCCGCGGUCCGGGCUCAUACGACCGUGAAGGCUUAGAUGCGGCCUAAUCCUGCUUCUCCUUGGUUCCUGGUGGGCCGAGCAGUUGGGAAUCAAUCUUUCUUUUUGGUUUUUUUUGGUUUUUU
RNAcentral lists this long non-coding RNA (616 nucleotides) under Eutrema salsugineum. RNAcentral describes it as "long non-coding RNA (ESAL_LNC000746)". Lineage: Eukaryota; Viridiplantae; Streptophyta; Magnoliopsida; Brassicales; Brassicaceae. The record is from RNAcentral.